CCUACGGGAGGCAGCAGUGGGGAAUAUUGCACAAUGGGGGAAACCCUGAUGCAGCGACGCCGCGUGAGUGAAGAAGUAAUUCGGUAUGUAAAGCUCUAUCAUCAGGGAAGAAAAUGACGGUACCUGAGUAAGAAGCCCCGGCUAACUACGUGCCAGCAGCCGCGGUAAUACGUAGGGGGCAAGCGUUAUCCGGAUUUACUGGGUGUAAAGGGAGCGUAGACGGAAGUGCAAGUCUGGAGUGAAAGGCGGGGGCUCAACCCCCGGACUGCUCUGGAAACUGUACGGCUGGAGUGCAGGAGAGGUAAGUGGAAUUCCUAGUGUAGCGGUGAAAUGCGUAGAUAUUAGGAGGAACACCAGUGGCGAAGGCGGCUUACUGGACUGUAACUGACGUUGAGGCUCGAAAGCGUGGGGAGCAAACAGGAUUAGAUACCCCAGUAGUC
RNAcentral lists this ribosomal RNA (440 nucleotides) under uncultured bacterium. Its description in RNAcentral is "partial 16S ribosomal RNA". It matches the Rfam family "Bacterial small subunit ribosomal RNA", at positions 338 to 795 of the family's 1533-position model. The record is from RNAcentral.